AACUCUUAAGAAUGGAUAACUUGGCGUGUGCUUCCACAAAGUAUGUAGCCAGCUAUUAAAAUUAAUGUGAAUUGCAGGACACAUUGACCAUUGACCCUUGUGGCCCUGGAUUCCUCCUGCGACUAUGUCUGCCUGCUUUUUG
RNAcentral lists this ribosomal RNA (142 nucleotides) under Monodelphis domestica (gray short-tailed opossum). RNAcentral describes it as "5.8S ribosomal RNA". It matches the Rfam family "5.8S ribosomal RNA". Rfam says of the family: 5.8S ribosomal RNA (5.8S rRNA) is a component of the large subunit of the eukaryotic ribosome. It is transcribed by RNA polymerase I as part of the 45S precursor that also contains 18S and 28S rRNA. Functionally, it is thought that 5.8S rRNA may be involved in ribosome translocation. The record is from Rfam by way of RNAcentral. Lineage: Eukaryota; Metazoa; Chordata; Mammalia; Didelphimorphia; Didelphidae.